RNAcentral lists this unclassified non-coding RNA (88 nucleotides) under Pseudomonas reinekei. Lineage: Bacteria; Pseudomonadati; Pseudomonadota; Gammaproteobacteria; Pseudomonadales; Pseudomonadaceae. The record is from RNAcentral.
GUAGGAGCCGGCUUGCUGGCGAUGGCGGUUUGUCAGGCGAUAUCUGUGUUGGCCUUGUGUCCGCUAUCGCCAGCAAGCCGGCUCCUAC